UACGGAGGGAGCUAGCGUUGUUCGGAAUUACUGGGCGUAAAGCGCACGUAGGCGGCUUUGUAAGUUAGAGGUGAAAGCCCGGGGCUCAACCCCGGAAUUGCCUUUAAGACUGCAUCGCUUGAAUCCGGGAGAGGUGAGUGGAAUUCCGAGUGUAGAGGUGAAAUUCGUAGAUAUUCGGAAGAACACCAGUGGCGAAGGCGGCUCACUGGACCGGUAUUGACGCUGAGGAGCGAAAGCGUGGGGAGCGAACAGG
Molecule: ribosomal RNA, 253 nt
Filed under: uncultured bacterium
Lineage: Bacteria
Description: partial 16S ribosomal RNA
Rfam family: Bacterial small subunit ribosomal RNA
Source: RNAcentral